UAUUCUGUAGCAAGGUUAACCGUAUAGGGGAGCCGGAGGGAAACCGAGUCUUAACCGGGCGUUAAGUUGCAGGGUAUAGACCCGAAACCCGGUGAUCUAGCCAUGGGCAGGUUGAAGGUUGGGUAACACUAACUGGAGGACCGAACCGACUAAUGUUGAAAAAUUAGCGGAUGACCUGUGGCUGGGGGUGAAAGGCCAAUCAAACCGGGAGAUAGCUGGUUCUCCCCGAAAGCUAUUUAGGUAGCGCCUCGUGAAUUCAUCUCCGGGGGUAGAGCACUGUUUCGGCUAGGGGGCCAUCCCGGCUUACCAACCCGAUGCAAACUGCGAAUACCGGAGAAUGUUAUCACGGGAGACACACGGCGGGUGCUAACGUCCGUCGUGAAGAGGGAAACAACCCAGACCGCCAGCUAAGGUCCCAAAGUCAUGGUUAAGUGGGAAACGAUGUGGGAAGGCCCAGACAGCCAGGAUGUUGGCUUAGAAGCAGCCAUCAUUUAAAGAAAGCGUAAUAGCUCACUGGUCGAGUCGGCCUGCGCGGAAGAUGUAACGGGGCUAAACCAUGCACCGAAGCUGCGGCAGCGAACGUAUCACCCAAGACAACUUUACGGAGUUGACGAUUGACGGAGCGAAGCGACGUCAAAGCGUUCAUUAAAGUCGAGUUGGCUUAGGGAUACGUUCGUUGGGUAGGGGAGCGUUCUGUAAGCCUGUGAAGGUGUGUCGUGAGGCAUGCUGGAGGUAUCAGAAGUGCGAAUGCUGACAUAAGUAACGAUAAAGCGGGUGAAAAGCCCGCUCGCCGGAAGACCAAGGGUUCCUGUCCAACGUUAAUCGGGGCAGGGUGAGUCGACCCCUAAGGCGAGGCCGAAAGGCGUAGUCGAUGGGAAACGGGUUAAUAUUCCCGUACUUGGUGUUACUGCGAAGGGGGGACGGAGAAGGCUAUGUUGGCCGGGCGACGGUUGUCCCGGUUUAAGCGUGUAGGUGUGUGUUCCAGGUAAAUCCGGUUCACUUUAACACUGAGGCGUGACGACGAGGCACUACGGUGCUGAAGCAACAAAUGCCCUGCUUCCAGGAAAAGCCUCUAAGCAUCAGGUAACANNNNNNNNNNNNNNNNNNNNNNNNNNNNNNNNNNNNNGGAGCUGAAGUCAGUCGAAGAUACCAGCUGGCUGCAACUGUUUAUUAAAAACACAGCACUGUGCAAACACGAAAGUGGACGUAUACGGUGUGACGCCUGCCCGGUGCCGGAAGGUUAAUUGAUGGGGUCAGCGCAAGCGAAGCUCCUGAUCGAAGCCCCGGUAAACGGCGGCCGUAACUAUAACGGUCCUAAGGUAGCGAAAUUCCUUGUCGGGUAAGUUCCGACCUGCACGAAUGGCGUAAUGAUGGCCAGGCUGUCUCCACCCGAGACUCAGUGAAAUUGAACUCGCUGUGAAGAUGCAGUGUACCCGCGGCAAGACGGAAAGACCCCGUGAACCUUUACUAUAGCUUGACACUGAACAUUGAGCCUUGAUGUGUAGGAUAGGUGGGAGGCUUUGAAGUGUGGACGCCAGUCUGCAUGGAGCCGACCUUGAAAUACCACCCUUUAAUGUUUGAUGUUCUAACGUGGACCCGUAAUCCGGGUUGCGGACAGUGUCUGGUGGGUAGUUUGACUGGGGCGGUCUCCUCCUAAAGAGUAACGGAGGAGCACGAAGGUUGGCUAAUCCUGGUCGGACAUCAGGAGGUUAGUGCAAUGGCAUAAGCCAGCUUGACUGCGAGCGUGACGGCGCGAGCAGGUGCGAAAGCAGGUCAUAGUGAUCCGGUGGUUCUGAAUGGAAGGGCCAUCGCUCAACGGAUAAAAGGUACUCCGGGGAUAACAGGCUGAUACCGCCCAAGAGUUCAUAUCGACGGCGGUGUUUGGCACCUCGAUGUCGGCUCAUCACAUCCUGGGGCUGAAGUAGGUCCCAAGGGUAUGGCUGUUCGCCAUUUAAAGUGGUACGCGAGCUGGGUUUAGAACGUCGUGAGACAGUUCGGUCCCUAUCUGCCGUGGGCGCUGGAGAACUGAGGGGGGCUGCUCCUAGUACGAGAGGACCGGAGUGGACGCAUCACUGGUGUUCGGGUUGUCAUGCCAAUGGCACUGCCCGGUAGCUAAAUGCGGAAGAGAUAAGUGCUGAAAGCAUCUAAGCACGAAACUUGCCCCGAGAUGAGUUCUCCCUGAGACUU
RNAcentral lists this ribosomal RNA (2187 nucleotides) under Salmonella enterica subsp. enterica serovar Typhimurium. RNAcentral's name for it is "bacterial LSU rRNA". It matches the Rfam family "Bacterial large subunit ribosomal RNA", at positions 631 to 2823 of the family's 2925-position model. Lineage: Bacteria; Pseudomonadati; Pseudomonadota; Gammaproteobacteria; Enterobacterales; Enterobacteriaceae. The record is from RNAcentral.